Tyto alba (common barn owl) is the source of this 409-nucleotide long non-coding RNA. RefSeq lists it as uncharacterized. NCBI's taxonomy places the organism in Eukaryota, Metazoa, Chordata, Aves, Strigiformes, Tytonidae. The transcript has 4 exons. The record is from RefSeq and is a predicted model, not a curated record.
ACCAUGCCAUCAUCAGUGGCCCUGUCCCUCUCGAAGAUCAGAGCAACCAUCAGCCUUAGUCUGCGUUGGAGACGUACAAACUUGUGGAAACCUCCUGUCUCAGAUGAUGAACCCAAGGCAGAGGGAGCUGGAGGUGUGUGUUCCCGUUCAGCAGGAGAGACUUGAUUGUUCACAUUAGCCCUUAUCUGAGACAAUUGUCUCAGCUGAAGGAGCACCAGGGAAACUGAGGCACAGUGCGAAAGUGCAGAGGUCUCUGUCCAAGAGGAUGGAAGGCUUCUAUAGCGAGAGCAGUAAUUCACUGAGCUCCUGGUAUGGGCGAUGUCUUGGUUUCACACCUGAUCUGUGCAGUUCCCAGUAAGGCUCUUCUGCUCCCUGGGACAGUUUGGACCACCAGCUUGUGCUCCCUAUG